RNAcentral lists this ribosomal RNA (505 nucleotides) under uncultured Rhodocyclus sp. RNAcentral describes it as "bacterial SSU rRNA". It matches the Rfam family "Bacterial small subunit ribosomal RNA", at positions 398 to 894 of the family's 1533-position model. Lineage: Bacteria; Pseudomonadati; Pseudomonadota; Betaproteobacteria; Rhodocyclales; Rhodocyclaceae. The record is from RNAcentral.
CGCGUGAGUGAAGAAGGCCUUCGGGUUGUAAAGCUCUUUCGGCGGGGAAGAAAUCGCAUUCUCUAAUACAGGAUGUGGAUGACGGUACCCGAAUAAGAAGCACCGGCUAACUACGUGCCAGCAGCCGCGGUAAUACGUAGGGUGCGAGCGUUAAUCGGAAUUACUGGGCGUAAAGCGUGCGCAGGCGGUUUCGUAAGACAGACGUGAAAUCCCCGGGCUCAACCUGGGAACUGCGUUUGUGACUGCGAGGCUAGAGUUUGGCAGAGGGGGGUGGAAUUCCACGUGUAGCAGUGAAAUGCGUAGAGAUGUGGAGGAACACCGAUGGCGAAGGCAGCCCCCUGGGCCAAUACUGACGCUCAUGCACGAAAGCGUGGGGAGCAAACAGGAUUAGAUACCCUGGUAGUCCACGCCCUAAACGAUGUCAACUAGGUGUUGGGAGGGUUAAACCUCUUAGUGCCGUAGCUAACGCGUGAAGUUGACCGCCUGGGGAGUACGGCCGCAAGGC